This 78-nucleotide transfer RNA is filed under the name Halobacteriovorax marinus. Its description in RNAcentral is "tRNA-Cys". It matches the Rfam family "tRNA". From Rfam's summary of the family: Transfer RNA (tRNA) molecules are approximately 80 nucleotides in length. Their secondary structure includes four short double-helical elements and three loops (D, anti-codon, and T loops). Further hydrogen bonds mediate the characteristic L-shaped molecular structure. tRNAs have two regions of fundamental functional importance: the anti-codon, which is responsible for specific mRNA codon recognition, and the 3' end, to which the tRNAs corresponding amino acid is attached (by aminoacyl-tRNA synthetases). tRNAs cope with the degeneracy of the genetic code in two manners: having more than one tRNA (with a specific anti-codon) for a particular amino acid; and 'wobble' base-pairing, i.e. permitting non-standard base-pairing at the 3rd anti-codon position. Lineage: Bacteria; Pseudomonadati; Bdellovibrionota; Bacteriovoracia; Bacteriovoracales; Halobacteriovoraceae. The record is from RNAcentral. RNAcentral also lists the same sequence under 1 other name.
GGUCAGAUGCCAGAGUGGUCGAAUGGCGCAGUUUGCAAAACUGUUGUAUCAUCGGUUCAAAUCCGAUUCUGACCUCCA